This 2411-nucleotide long non-coding RNA is filed under the name Sus scrofa (pig). RNAcentral describes it as "lncRNA (ENSSSCG00045035884.1)". The record is from RNAcentral. Lineage: Eukaryota; Metazoa; Chordata; Mammalia; Artiodactyla; Suidae.
CCAAAUAUCAGUCUAGAUGUUACUGUGAAUGUAGCGUUUAAGUGAGAUUAGCAUUAAGCCAGUUGACUUUGAAUAAAGCAGUAAUAAUCUGAGUAGGCUUCAUCCAGCUGGGUCUUAAAGGGAAAGACUGAGGUGCCACAUGAAAGAAGGAGUUCUGCCUCCAGACGGCCUUUGGAGUCAAGCCAGAGACAUCACUUUUUCCUUGAGCUCCCAGACUGCCAGCCUACCCUGUAGACUUUAGACGUGCCAGCCUCCAUACUGCAUGGAAAACCCCGCCUCAUACAACCAUGUCGCGGCCUCUUAAGUGUUGUCAAGUGAUCAGGGGUGUGUUGGAGGUUGGCUUUUGCAGCACCAGGGUCCUGGGACUGAAUCCCAUCUCAACAAGCUACAGUGUGAUUGAUUUUUCUCAACACCAACAGCAGCAGAUUAGAGAAUUAAUUAAGGGAAACCUAGAAAGUCUCCUUGACUUGGCUUACCAUGCCUGCCGGGCAGAUGGAGGCAGCAGCGCAUGCAGGAUAUUCAUUACAAACAAGUGGAUUCAGGCUCCAGCAGAUUGGGUCGGCUAACAACUCCUCUGGUCUCCAGAGCAGUAUGGAAGAAUCUGGCAUCACUGUGUCAGCCUGCCAACCCCAAACAGCCACUGCCACCUUGUGCAACAAAAGAUUUCCAUUUGUACCAACAAAAAGAGGAGUGGGUUCAUGCAUUGGCUCCAUUGGCAGAGGAAUGUGUCAAAGAGUUAUACGGUGCCAUUUUCAUGCCAGUGCCAUCAGAUGCUGCAGAGGGAAAAGGAGCUGAUCCCAAUAAGCGUUCUGAUUUUUCAUCCAGUUCACAGAAUCAAAGGAGGUGGAGCGGAAUCUCUCUCUGCUGAAAUAUUGGCUGUGGUGAGUGACUUCUCAAAAAGGACAGCGUGGAAAUAGGGGGAAAGUAACUUUCCAGUGGAGAAACCUGACAGACUCAACCUCAGUCAUGCCAUCAAGGUCGGACUCAACGGUGAUAACUCCUGUUGCCAGCACGUACCCCUGAUAUGAUGCAAGAAUGGAUGUCACUUCCGUGGGCUUCCUCCUCAAAACUCAUCGUUCCAGUCACAUGUUGUGGGGAAAAAACCCACUAGACAAAUUCCAAUAGAGGCGAAUCCUACAAAAUAAUUGACAAGUCCUUCUCGGGACUGCCUAGGGCACCAAAACCAAGUCUAAGAAAUUAUCUCAGCCAAGAAGAGCCCAAGGAGACAUGAGGAUGAUGCGUUAUGCGGCAUCCUGGACGAGAUCCUCGAUCAGAAAGAAGGUGGCGAGUUAAAACUAAAGCAAUCUUGGAGUCCGCAUUGUGGUUCAGAAGGUUAAGAACCCAGUUUACUCUCUGUGAGGAUGUGGGUUCGAUGCCUGGUCUCGCUCAGUGGGUUAAGUAUCUGGUGUUGCCAUGAGUGAGCGGUGGUGUAGGUUGAAGAUGCAGCUUGGAUCCCGUGUUGCUGUGGCUGUGGCAUAGGCCGGCAGCUGAAGCUCUGAUUCGACCCCAAGGCUGGGAACUUCCAUAUGCAGCAGGUAAGGCCAUAAAGAAAGAAACAAAACAAACAAACAGACAAACAAAACUAGAGCAAUCUGAGUAAGCUAUGGAUUUUAGUUAAUGAUAGAAUAGCAAUAUUGGUUUAUUCAUCAUAACGAAUGUACAGAGCUGAUGUAAGAUGUUACAUUAAUAACAGGGGAAACAGGGCAAGGACGGAGAUGAAAACUCUCUGGACUGUCUUUUUAAUUUUUCUGUGAACCAAAAGCUGUGUUUAAAAAUAAAACCUAUUUUAAAAGUAAUGAACGCAUGGACAUAAGGACACAUGUUUUACCUUUCACUCUGGGCUCCAAUAUGGCUCAGCUGGCCCUGGGUGUUGCCACAGCUCAUUCCAGUGGAGGGUCCCAAUACCUUGUACAUUCAUUUCAAGAGUGUAGAUGUGUCCCACUGAAUUUCAGCCAGGAUUUCUCCCCUGAAACAAUCCUGAAUCUGUAAAAACAUAAAAUGCUAUGAUUUUGAGCAGUCAAACCUCUCAACAAAUGAAGACUUUUAUAAAAAAAUUCCAUUGUCUUCUACAAAGAAGCCAAUUUCAAAUUCAGUAACCAUAACAAAAUACUUCAGAAGAACUGCUUGUCAUUUUCUUUUAAAAAUUAAAAAUAAUAAUACACUCUGGAAAAGAAUACCUUCAGAAAAAGUCACACGUCAAUGUUACACUUUUGCAGUGUUUUAAAAUGCUAAUACACUAAAUGUACACUAAAUGCUGCCAUUUCUUCCUUCUAAACAAAUAUUUUUAUGUAGACCCAACCCACUCUUGGAGUUGUGCUUGCUCUCACUUCUCACCCUUGGUAAUAUUCUUUUGAUCAUUUAAAAAUUAUCUCUUCUGGGCCCCAUAAAUUGGCACAACACUGUAAAUCAAC